GACGAAGGUGGCAAGCGUUGCUCGGAAUCACUGGGCAUAAAGCGCGCGUAGGUGGCUUGAUAAGUCGGUGGUGAAAUCCCAUGGCUCAACCAUGGAACUGCCGUCGAUACUGUCAGGCUUGAGGGCGGUAGGGGAGAGUGGAACUCCUGGUGUAGCGGUGAAAUGCGCAGAUAUCAGGAGGAACGCCGGUGGCGAAAGCGACUCUCUGGGCCGUUCCUGACACUAAAGUGCGAAAGCUAGGGGAGCAAACAGG
RNAcentral lists this ribosomal RNA (253 nucleotides) under uncultured bacterium. RNAcentral describes it as "partial 16S ribosomal RNA". It matches the Rfam family "Bacterial small subunit ribosomal RNA", at positions 524 to 776 of the family's 1533-position model. The record is from RNAcentral.